AACAGGAUUAGAUACCCUGGUAGUCCACACCGUAAACGAUGAGUGCUAGAUGUUCGAGGGUUUCCGCCCUUGAGUGUCGCAGCUAACGCAUUAAGCACUCCGCCUGGGGAGUACGACCGCAAGGUUGAAACUCAAAGGAAUUGACGGGGACCCGCACAAGCGGUGGAGCACGUGGUUUAAUUCGAAGCAACGCGAAGAACCUUACCAGGUCUUGACAUCCCUUGCUAAUCCUAGAAAUAGGACGUUCCCUUCGGGGACAAGGUGACAGGUGGUGCAUGGUUGUCGUCAGCUCGUGUCGUGAGAUGUUGGGUUAAGUCCCGCAACGAGCGCAACCCUUAUUAUUAGUUGCCAGCAUUCAGUUGGGCACUCUAGUGAGACUGCCGGUGACAAACCGGAGGAAGGUGGGGAUGACGUCAAAUCAUCAUGCCCCUUAUGACCUGGGCUACACACGUGCUACAAUGGCAUAUACAACGAGUCGCCAACCCGCGAGGGUGCGCUAAUCUCUUAAAGUAUGUCUCAGUUCGGAUUGUAGGCUGCAACUCGCCUACAUGAAGUCGGAAUCGCUAGUAAUCGCGGAUCAGCACGCCGCGGUGAAUACGUUCCCGGGUCUUGUACACACCGCCCGUCACACCAUGAGAGUUUGUAACACCCAAAGCCGGUGGGGUAACCUUUUAGGAGCCAGCCGUCUAAGGUGGGACAGAUGAUUAGGGUGAAGUCGUAACAAGGUAACC
Molecule: ribosomal RNA, 731 nt
Filed under: uncultured bacterium
Lineage: Bacteria
Description: bacterial SSU rRNA
Rfam family: Bacterial small subunit ribosomal RNA
Source: RNAcentral